Long non-coding RNA from Mercenaria mercenaria, 4523 nucleotides. RefSeq lists it as uncharacterized. NCBI's taxonomy places the organism in Eukaryota, Metazoa, Mollusca, Bivalvia, Venerida, Veneridae. The record is from RefSeq and is a predicted model, not a curated record. The transcript has 3 exons.
UCCGCCCCAUCCGAUUUCUAUCCAAAGGUUACUUGUUUUACAAUCUUUGUUUCAUAAUUUAAAGCUUAAAGCACUAAUAUUAAAAUAAUUGUCCAGCGACAGAAAUUAAUGCCAUCACAUAGGUAUUGAUAUGAUGUCAUAUACAUAUUGGAAGGAGGUAUUGAUAUCAACACAUGUAUAUUGUAAGGUUUUGAUAUCAUCAGUGGUAAUGAUACGUAUUUUAGAAUAAAUGAAGGUCCUGAUACAUUGAAAUGUAAUGAUGUCAGCACCUGCUUUUUUAAUGGUGUUGUAUGUAGUUUAGAAAAUAAGCCAGGUCUGGUAUUUUGUUUCUUACCUAAUUUUGUGCUUCUUUAUUUCUAUGUACAUUAGUGUUUUGACAGGAAAAACAGUUCACUGAACUACCAGUGGUCUAUGUAAACUGUGAAUGUUAUAAAAGGUAUCUAGGUGUGAGAAGUUUACAGAGAAAGUGAACAACUCACAGUUUGUGAAAGUAAAUGUAAAUGAUAUAUGCAUAAUAUACAGGUUAUUGUUAAUUAAUUUUAUAUCAUAUGCUUGGAGUGCAGCACAACAUACUUCUGGUGACUGUCCACACUGUUUAAUUUAAUACCAGAUGAAUUAAUGUGAUAACGCUAUUAGUCUUGAGAGUUAUUUAUUCCUGGUAGAUUGCAUAAGUAGUUCUUUUUGAUCUGUUUUGUGUUACCUUUCUUUGGUUUGGAUUGAAGAUGUAAUUGAUUUACAUUGUACAGCAAUAGCUAUUAUAGCAAUAUUAUAAUGUAGGUAUGCAUGGUAUUUUCAUGAAAAACAACAUAAAGGCUCCUUUACAAAGAGGGUUAAGGAAGAAAUCAAAAUUGAUUAGGUUAGAGUGGGUGGAAAUAGAUAAAAGAGGAUGGAAAAAGGAUAAAGUGGGUUGAGAUAGGAUAAAGUGGGGGAUGAGUGAUAGGAUAGAGUGGAUGGAGAAAGGUAAGAGUGAGUGGAAAGAGGAUAGAGUGGGUGUAGAUAAAAUAGAAUAGAUGGUGAUAGGUUAGAGUGGGAUGAGAGAUAGGUUAGAAUGGCUUGAGAUAGGUUACAGUGGGUGGAGAUAGGAUAGAGUGGGGGAUGAGAGAUAGGAUAGAGUGGUUGGAGUGUAUGGGUAGAGAAAGGUUACAGUGGGUGGAGAUAGGAUAGAGUGGGGAUGAGAGAUAGGAUAGAGUGGUUGGAGAUAGGUUAGAAUGGGUAGAGAAAGGUUACAGUGGGUGGAGAUAGGAUAGAGUAGGAUAGAGUGGGGGAUGAGAGAUAGGAUAGAGUGGUUGGAGUGUAUGGAUUGAGAAAGGUUACAGUGGGUGGAGAUAGGAUGGAGUGGGUGGAGAUAGGAUAGAGUGGGUGGAGAUUGGAUAGAGUGGGUGGAGAUAGGAUAGAGUGGGUGGAGAUAGGAUAGAGUGGGUGAAUGUAAGUUAGAGUGCUCUUUAAUUUGAUAUAUAAGUUUAAACAUUUUAAAGAUGUAAAUAUAUUUUAUAAUAAUUACCUACAUAGGAUUGGAUACUAGGUGUAUUUUUUCAAUGUUUUCUUGCACAGAGAAUGUAGAGUGGACAAUAUGUGGAGUCAAGGAAGUAGAAUAUAAAAUGUUAAUUAUCCUUUCAGUAAUUAUUUUUGUAAUGUCUUAUGAUCAAGUAUAAUGUUUGUACAGUGUUUCAUGCCAGACUAUCACUAGGCAUUCAAUGCAGUUUGUAUACAGGUAUCAUUCAGGUGUUGUUUUAGCAUUGCCUGCUGUAAAUAAAUCACCGUAAUGUCUUCCAUGCUUAGGCCAGACUUAAAAUAUUUGUUUGCUGUGCUUCAGUCCAGAAUUUAAAGGUAGGUAGGUCAGUCAAGUGAUUUUUUAUGGGGUGUUUUGGGAGUUAAUUUAGUCAAGAAAUACAGGAAAAGCUACCUGUAAUUGAAAUUACAUUAGGACUGAUGGUGAACUUAUUCUUAUAUUUUACUACUAAGCGUAAUAUCUUAGUAAUACAUUAUACUGAAUGUGCCCAUUAAAUAGUAUAACAGCAUUUAUUACUUAUGUUAUUGACAUAUUCAGUAAAUUGUAAGAGUAAUUAUUGCCAUAGACAAAAAAAGUCAGUAUGAUUUGAAGAAUGAAAUAGGAAAUUUGACCUUUGUACUUGAGCCAAGGUCACUUUCAAAACAUAGGGCUAGAGGUAGUACUGAUUUUGGUAAGUGAGUCUAAGCACUGCAAAGAAAUGACUUUUAAGGAUGACCUUACUUAUUUACAGGUUUGUUGUUUUGCAGUUUGUUAUAUAUUAAACUGUGAUGUUCAGCCUCAGGAUUUUUUAUUAGUCAUGCUCAAUAGUUAUAACUUAUUGGCAUUAUUUUCGUAUGUACAUUUUCUGGCUUCCACCUGGAUCUCUUUAAGAUCUUUUAACUGUGACCUUGAUUAUUAGCUCACCUGAGCAUUGCUCAGAUGAGUUUUUGUGAUCGCUCAAUGUCAGUCGUCUGUCUGUCAUCUGUCAUCUGUCAACAUUUAGAUUGUGUAUGUGAUAGAGGCUGUAUUUCUCAACUGAUCUUCAUUAAAUUUGGUCAGAAUGAUUGCCUUGAUAAAAUCUAGGUCGAAUUUGAAUAUGGGUCAUCUGGUAUCAAAAAGUAGGUCACUAGGUCAAAUCAAACUUGUGUAUACAAUAGAGGCUGUAUUUUUCAAUUGAUAUUCAUUAAAUUUUGUCAGAGUGAUUGUCUUGAUAAAAUCUAGGUCAAGUUCGAAUAUGGGUCAACUGGGGUCAAAAACUAGGUCACUAGGUCAUAUCUAAGAAAAUACUUGUUUAAACUCAAGAGACCACAUUUUUAGUCCAAUCUUAAUUAAAACUGGCCAAAAUAUUUGUUUCCAUGAAAUCACUAGGUCAAACAUGUUUACACUGUUAUGGUGUGUUUCUCAGGUGAGCGACCUAGGGCCAUCUUGGCCCUCUUGUUUGUUUAAUUUUACUUUGUCAGCGAUGUGCCUUCUGUGGUUAGGGCUUAGGUUUUUUUUUUUUCAGAAGAAGUGGGAGAUGAUUAUAUAAAAAUUAAAAAAAAAGCUUCAGGAGUUAUCUUGUAUGAAUAUCCUGAGAAAAAAAGUAAUGCUAUUCCUUGUUGGGUCUGUUUAUUUUAUGAGUUUGAAGUUGUUUUUCAACAGUGUUCCAGCUGCAGUCAUUGAAGCUAAUCAGUGUUCCUGCAGUUUGAACGAGUACUGACCCAACAUCACAGUUUGAAGACAGGUGACUUUAGACACACUGUCUUCUGUUAAAUAGUAACAGAAAACAUGUCACACCCUGGGAUAGCACUGAUGAUCUAUAAUACUCAGUAUGGUCUGUAGAAUAAUACUCAACAAUUUGUAAAAUUUCUCUGUAUUUAUUAAAAACAAACAUGUUAUUUUUGCCUUGCAGAAAAUGUUGGGAAAAUUUUUUUGAAAGGGUAAGGAAAUUUCUGGACUUGAAGUCUGUUUAAUUUUGUGUCCAUAUACCAAGAUUGAAAUUUUUCUUUGAAAAUCCUGUCUAACUUCAUCUCAGAGAUAAGGUCAAAGCAUUAGAGAUGAGAGCUAAUAUAAAAUGUUCAGUAACUGCUAUCAGAGGAUUUGCUGGCAAAGAUCUUGUAUCUUUGAGAGAGAAACAUGUUACAUGCUACUCUAGGAAACUUGUACUACAGUUAUAUUGAAAAUAUUGUCUAUUGUCUAAAAUGUUGUAUAUAUAAAGGCUCCUACAGAAAUAGAGAAUAACAAUUUUGUGUGAAAAAGUAUUUUCUGUUAUGACAUUGUAUACAGGGUAACUGCUAUUACAGAGGUCUCAGUGAUGUCGUAUACAGUGUAACUGUUACUUAUACCAUGGUGUUGUUGUGCACAGUUGACAUGUUAGCAAUACCUCGGUAAUGUCGUGUAGUGUGGUGUACAAUGUUACCUCUGUUACAACACCAUGAUGUUAUGUACACUCUACCCAGUCUGUUUCCGCCACCGUGGCGAGGUUAUGUACAGUCUAACCUCUGUCUCCGCCACCGUGGCGAGGUUAUGUACAGUCUAACCUCUGUCUCCGCCACCGUGGCAAGGUUAUGUACAGUGUAACCUCUGUCUCCGCCACCGUGGCGAGGUUCUGUACAGUCUAACCUGUUUCCGCCACCGUGGCGAGGUUAUGUACAGUCUAACCUCUGUCUCCGCCACCGUGGCGAGGUUAUGUACAGUCUAACCUCUGUCUCCGCCACCGUGGCGAGGUUAUGUACAGUCUAACCUCUGUUUCCAGCCACCGUGGCGAGGUUUUGUACAGUCUAACCGUUUCCGCCACCGUGGCGAGGUUAUGUACAGUCUAACCUCUGUAACUGACACCACCGAAGAGCAAACAUCCCUAUGCAAAGAUUGGUGUUUUCUUUACACUUGUUACAAUUUUCAGCAUAUUAAUUUCACAUUUUUGUCUUCCAAGUGGUGUAACCUGUACAGAGAGAUGAUGUUCUGUUUAUGUCUUCUUUCAGUUUUCUGUUUCUCCAUUGAUAUUUGGAUAAAAAUUUGCACAUGUUUUAUGAAUAAAGAGCACAUCUAAAGGAAA